UACGUAGGCAGCGAGCGUUGUUCGGAGUUACUGGGCGUAAAGAGCGCGCAGGCGGUCGUUCAAGUCGCGUGUGAAAGCCCCCGGCUCAACUGGGGAGGGUCACGCGAUACUGAUCGACUCGAAGGCAGGAGAGGGAAGUGGAAUUCCCGGUGUAGUGGUGAAAUGCGUAGAUAUCGGGAGGAACACCAGUGGCGAAGGCGACUUCCUGGCCUGUUCUUGACGCUGAGGCGCGAAAGCUAGGGGAGCAAACGGG
Molecule: ribosomal RNA, 253 nt
Filed under: uncultured bacterium
Lineage: Bacteria
Description: partial 16S ribosomal RNA
Rfam family: Bacterial small subunit ribosomal RNA
Source: RNAcentral